This is a long non-coding RNA of Sapajus apella (tufted capuchin), 117 nucleotides long. RefSeq lists it as uncharacterized. The record is from RefSeq and is a predicted model, not a curated record. Lineage: Eukaryota; Metazoa; Chordata; Mammalia; Primates; Cebidae. The transcript is spliced from 4 exons.
UUUCCAACAAGUGUUCAAUUGUUAGCAGAGAGGAGACCCAUAGUGGGUAGCUCCUCUCUACAGGCAAGCCAUCCCAUCAGUGUUCAGUUCUCAGCAGGGAGGAGGCCUGGAGUGAGU